Musa acuminata AAA Group (dessert banana) is the source of this 1762-nucleotide long non-coding RNA. RefSeq lists it as uncharacterized. The record is from RefSeq and is a predicted model, not a curated record. Lineage: Eukaryota; Viridiplantae; Streptophyta; Magnoliopsida; Zingiberales; Musaceae. The transcript has 3 exons.
CAAAUUCGGUGUAAGAUGUUUCGUGUCCGCUAUAGAUUGGCUAAACGUGGAUGCCACGUGUUUUGAGAGACCCCGGUGUAAGACGCUACGCUUCGUGUCGCGCUUUAAAUAGGUCAAAUGAUAUUUCUUUCGCGACCGCCAUUUCGCUACGUCUCCCGCCCGCUCUGAUCCCUCUCUCCCCGCUCAAGAACUAGGGUUGUUCUUCGCUUCCGAUCCUUUCUUGGAUCGAUUCGUAAUGGUGAGCGUCUAUCUCCACCACGACGGUGACAAAUUCGACGCCGCUCAUUAGAAGAAACCAGGCGCCGGCCGCUCGUUUCAAGAAGGCCCUCGCGGCUACCAUGUCCGCUGCCGUUCUUCCGGCCAAGUUCGACUCGAAGCCUCCUUCCACUGCCGAAGCAGGUUCGAGAUGUUAAUUCCAUCCUUCCUUCCAGCUAUUUGUGGGAUCGACGUAGUUGUUGACAUAGUUCUUGUUACCGGGUCCUGAAACCUCUUCCAAGAAUUAGGGAUCUGCUCUCUUCUGAUCCUUUCGUCGUUCGAUUCGAAACGGCCAGCUUCAAACCCUUCCAUCCCUUCACGACAAUGAUGGUGAACGUCCUGUCUCCCUCCUCGCCGCCCAUCAGAAGAAAUUGGACAGCGCUUUGCCGGCCGAAGCACGUUGGAGAUUCUAAACCUACAUUGGUUUCUUUUCUCUCUCACUUUGCAGCCGGAUCGUGGUUGAUCCGAGUGCCUCUUGUAUAUGGUUCUUGGAAUGAUCGAUUGGUCAGUGAAGGGUGAUGGCUGGAGAUGGGCGAGGACGCGGCAACAUCACAAGAGGCCAAGACAGCGACCAUAGAUCUGGCCACAGGCGGUGCGCUUACUUUGGUUUCGCUGAUACGGCUAUGCAUGAAAAUCGAUUUGGGGCAGCAUGAAGAGAUGGGAUGGCUGACCGAAAGAGGACGUGGAUGUCGUGAUGGACCCCCAGUGAUCACCGUCGUCGUCGACCCGGAAGAAGCCUUCGGGCUGGUUAUGGCAUGGCGUUGAAGAGGUGGGGUCAGAGUGACUCGCCUUCCAGGAGACGGUUUAAUCAUAGCAGUUGAAAUGGACGUAGGUAAAUAAUCUAAGAUUAUGAAUUCGAGAUGGAUUUGUUGCUCCUUUUGGAUUGAGAUUUACCCUGAUCUGUAAGAUGUGACUGGGCGCACUGGUUGUCCCCGUGGUAACUGGGAGACUCCUAACCAAAGCAAACUAUCUGAUGCUCGAAUCUGGAGGAGUUUAGAGCUGCAGGAGAUGCUGUUGGAAUGAUGCACUGGAUGGAUCGGAGACCAGUGAGGUGACUCAAGGAGGAAGAAGAAGAUGAAGCAGUGUGGAGGACACGAAUGUGAUGGAGGAAGAGGGAGGAGGAAGCAUACUUGUCGACAGCGCACGACAAGCAAUAGGCAGUUGGCUGUAGAAUGAGGUGAAACAACGCAUGAAGGGCUCACAUUCGAGUGAAGAGAAGGGCUCACGUUUGGUAUGCAGUGGGUGGUGACAAGCGGUAGCAAGAGGCAAAACAACAUGCAUUUAGGCGAAGAGAGUAGCAAGAGGCAAAACAACAUGCAUUUAGGCGAAGAGAGUUUAUGAUACUCAACCUAAUGGUUCAUGCACGGACCGAUACAUACCGUUUAUAUUGUUACAACACCUUUAUAUUGUUACGAGAACAAAUGUUGAGAUGGUGGAUAGCAAAUAUUGUAACAGUGAUGAACUGUGAUAACCGGUUUUGUUAUUAAAACAAAGCAGUUUUGUGUUA